CGGUUAAGUUAGAAAGGGCGCACGGUGGAUGCCUUGGCACUAGGAGCCGAUGAAGGACGGGACGAACACCGAUAUGCUUCGGGGAGCUGUAAGCAAGCUUUGAUCCGGAGAUUUCCGAAUGGGGAAACCCACCACUCGUAAUGGAGUGGUAUCCAUAUCUGAAUACAUAGGAUAUGAGAAGGCAGACCCGGGGAACUGAAACAUCUAAGUACCCGGAGGAAGAG
RNAcentral lists this ribosomal RNA (224 nucleotides) under Bacillus velezensis. Its description in RNAcentral is "partial 23S ribosomal RNA". It matches the Rfam family "Bacterial large subunit ribosomal RNA", at positions 1 to 221 of the family's 2925-position model. Lineage: Bacteria; Bacillati; Bacillota; Bacilli; Caryophanales; Bacillaceae. The record is from RNAcentral.